AUUGAACGCUGGCGGCAUGCCUUACACAUGCAAGUCGAACGGCAGCAUGGGUGCUUGCACCUGAUGGCGAGUGGCGAACGGGUGAGUAAUGCAUCGGAACGUACCCGGAAGUGGGGGAUAACGUAGCGAAAGUUACGCUAAUACCGCAUAUUCUGUGAGCAGGAAAGCGGGGGAUCGCAAGACCUCGCGCUUCCGGAGCGGCCGAUGUCGGAUUAGCUAGUUGGCGGGGUAAAGGCCCACCAAGGCAACGAUCCGUAGCGGGUCUGAGAGGAUGACCAGCCACACUGGGACUGAGACACGGCCCAGACUCCUACGGGAGGCAGCAGUGGGGAAUAGUUGGACAAUGGGCGCAAGCCUGAUCCAGCAAUGCCGCGUGUGUGAAGAAGGCCUGCGGGUUGUAAAGCACUUUCAGUGGGGAAGAACGGGCCAAGGUUAAUACCCCUGGCUUCUGACGUUACCCACAGAAGAAGCACCGGCUAACUCCGUGCC
This 489-nucleotide ribosomal RNA is filed under the name uncultured bacterium. RNAcentral's name for it is "bacterial SSU rRNA". It matches the Rfam family "Bacterial small subunit ribosomal RNA", at positions 29 to 509 of the family's 1533-position model. The record is from RNAcentral.